Molecule: ribosomal RNA, 270 nt
Filed under: uncultured bacterium
Lineage: Bacteria
Description: partial 16S ribosomal RNA
Source: RNAcentral
CUGCUGCCUUCCGUAGGAGUUUGGGCCGUGUCUCAGUCCCAAUGUGGCCGUUCACCCUCUCAGGCCGGCUACUGAUCGUCGCCUUGGUGGGCCGUUACCCCUCCAACCAGCUAAUCAGACGCGGGUCCAUCCUGUACCACCGGAGUUUUUCACACUGUACCAUGCGGUACUGUGCGCUUAUGCGGUUUUAGUCACCUAUUUCUUAAGUGUUAUCCCCUCGUACAGGGCAGGUUACCCACGCGUUACUCACCCGUCCGCCACUAAGAUAAA